GAUGAACGCUGGCGGCGUGCCUAAUACAUGCAAGUCGAGCGAACAGAUGAGGAGCUUGCUCCGCUGACGUUAGCGGCGGACGGGUGAGUAACACGUGGAUAACCUACCUAUAAGACUGGGAUAACUUCGGGAAACCGGAGCUAAUACCGGAUAAUAUAUUGAACCGCAUGGUUCAAUAGUGAAAGACGGUUUUGCUGUCACUUAUAGAUGGAUCCGCGCCGCAUUAGCUAGUUGGUAAGGUAACGGCUUACCAAGGCAACGAUGCGUAGCCGACCUGAGAGGGUGAUCGGCCACACUGGAGCUGAGACACGGUCCAGACGCCUACGGGAGGCAGCAGUAGGGAAUCUUCCGCAAUGGGCGAAAGCCUGACGGAGCAACGCCGCGUGAGUGAUGAAGGUCUUCGGAUCGUAAAACUCUGUUAUUAGGGAAGAACAAAUGUGUAAGUAACUAUGCACGUCUUGACGGUACCUAAUCAGAAAGCCACGGCUAACUACGUG
Molecule: ribosomal RNA, 497 nt
Filed under: uncultured bacterium
Lineage: Bacteria
Description: partial 16S ribosomal RNA
Rfam family: Bacterial small subunit ribosomal RNA
Source: RNAcentral